CGGCGGACGGGUGAGUAACACGUGGAUAACCUACCUAUAAGACUGGGAUAACUUCGGGAAACCGGAGCUAAUACCGGAUAAUAUAUUGAACCGCAUGGUUCAAUAGUGAAAGACGGUUUUGCUGUCACUUAUAGAUGGAUCCGCGCCGCAUUAGCUAGUUGGUAAGGUAACGGCUUACCAAGGCAACGAUGCGUAGCCGACCUGAGAGGGUGAUCGGCCACACUGGAACUGAGACACGGUCCAGACUCCUACGGGAAGCAGCAGCC
Molecule: ribosomal RNA, 266 nt
Filed under: uncultured Staphylococcus sp.
Lineage: Bacteria; Bacillati; Bacillota; Bacilli; Caryophanales; Staphylococcaceae
Description: partial 16S ribosomal RNA
Rfam family: Bacterial small subunit ribosomal RNA
Source: RNAcentral